Numida meleagris (helmeted guineafowl) is the source of this 705-nucleotide long non-coding RNA. The record is from Ensembl. NCBI's taxonomy places the organism in Eukaryota, Metazoa, Chordata, Aves, Galliformes, Numididae.
CUUUUCCAGAAAAAUGUUUGUUUCCUAACAUUUGGGAACUGCACUAUUGAAUGCCUCUGAGUACAGCUGAGGCCAGUUCUCUAGCAAUUGGAAGUUCCACCUGUGAAUAGUCUUGGGGAAUGCCUGGUUUCAGGUUUCUGUUCAGCAGCUGCUGUGGUAGUGGGUAGAGUGUGCUGUGGGCAGGGUGGUGACAACUGAUCUUUUUGUUCUUCUGUUUGCGUGUGCAACAGCUUUCAAUAGCUUCCCAACCACACUGCUGCAUGUGUUCUUUAUUCUGCAGGAAUCUGAUUGUCACUGAUAUGCCACUGACUUGUGCUUCUGGGAAACACCUUUACCUUCAAAUGCUGCAUCCAACCCAGCCAGACGGGAGUGUCUGGCAGACUCUGGACGUCCAAGGUAAAAAGUUAUAAGUUGGCUUGCUACUCUGAAUUCAUUUUUAAGCAAAAUCAUCCUUGGAGAACAAUAGUUACAGAUAUAGGCCAGAAGAACCCUGAAAUUCAUCAAGGUGAAGUUUUGAGGUUUGCUGGAGUUAUUACAGCUGAUUUUGCCCCAGGCACAGUUCACUGGGGAGCUGGUACCUGGGGUUCCACUGAUAUCCCUGUCACUGGCAAGGUUUGAAGACUGCACUUCUGUAACAAUGUUUAUCCCGAGAGCUGUUGUUCACAUGUGGGUAGCAAUUGCAAUAAAUAGAUUUACAGCAAAGCA